RNAcentral lists this transfer RNA (71 nucleotides) under Hypogeophis rostratus. RNAcentral describes it as "tRNA-Gln". It matches the Rfam family "tRNA". Rfam says of the family: Transfer RNA (tRNA) molecules are approximately 80 nucleotides in length. Their secondary structure includes four short double-helical elements and three loops (D, anti-codon, and T loops). Lineage: Eukaryota; Metazoa; Chordata; Amphibia; Gymnophiona; Indotyphlidae. The record is from RNAcentral.
UAGGAGAUAGUGUAGUGGGAGCACGGAGGGGUUUGAUCUCUCAUGUAUAGGUUCAAGUCCUGUUUUUCUAA